GUAUUAAUUGCGUGUGAUCGCAAAAGAAAAACAUUCUACACUGUAUCGAGUUUGUGUGAAAACGCAAGCCCCCCUCCCGGAUCGGUUUGAUCCCAAAGGGUUGCCCACGCGGUGGUGCACAAAAGGGUGAGAUGGAUUUUUAUGUGAGAGGACACACUCUGGCGUGCACGACUCUUGUGGUAAAAGUCAGCGACAGCCCUCGCAUGCCUCACACAUUUUGUACGAUAAUGAUCCUUCCGCAGGUUCACCUACGGAAA
RNAcentral lists this unclassified non-coding RNA (257 nucleotides) under uncultured fungus. RNAcentral's name for it is "sequence contains ITS1". Lineage: Eukaryota; Fungi. The record is from RNAcentral.